This 499-nucleotide ribosomal RNA is filed under the name uncultured Glomeromycotina. Its description in RNAcentral is "partial small subunit ribosomal RNA". It matches the Rfam family "Eukaryotic small subunit ribosomal RNA", at positions 591 to 1092 of the family's 1831-position model. Lineage: Eukaryota; Fungi; Glomeromycota. The record is from RNAcentral.
CCAAUAGCGUAUAUUAAAGUUGUUGCAGUUAAAAAGCUCGUAGUUGAAUUUCGGGAUCAGUACGCUGGUCGUGCCUCCGGUAUGUACUGGUGUCACUGCUUCCUCCCUUCUGAAGAACCAUCAUGCCAUUCACUUGGUGUGGUGGGGCAUCAGGACUGUUACUUUGAAAAAAUUAGAGUGUUUAAAGCAGGCUCGCGCUUGAAUUCAUUAGCAUGGAAUCAUUAAAUAGGACGUUUAUCCUAUUUUGUUGGUUUCUAGGAUUGACGUAAUGAUUAAUAGGGAUAGUUGGGGGCAUUAGUAUUCAAUUGUCAGAGGUGAAAUUCUUGGAUUUAUUGAAGACUAACUACUGCGAAAGCAUUUGCCAAGGAUGUUUUCAUUAAUCAAGAACGAAAGUUAGGGGAUCGAAGACGAUCAGAUACCGUCGUAGUCUUAACCAUAAACUAUGCCGACUAGGGAUCGGAUGAUGUUAAUUUUUUAAUGACUCAUUCGGCGCCUUACG